AUAAUGUAAACUUAUUACUUUAAUACUAUUAGUGUUCUUUAAAUUAAAAAAAUUUGGCGGUAUGUAAGUUUAAUUAGAGGAAUUUGUAGUUUAAUCGACAAUCCCCGAUCAUCUUUCCUUGUUUUGUAAAUCAGUUUAUAUACCGUUGUCUUCAGAUUUCAUUUUUAGAUGUUUUCUAAUUAAUAAUUUUAAGUCAAAUCAAGGUGUAGCAAAUAAUAAGGUUACUAUGAAUUACAAUAAAAGUAAUUAUAUGAAUAUUGUUUUGUAAUAAGCAAUUGAAGGUGGAUUUAAUUGUAAAUAUUAUUUAUUAUAUAAUUUUGAAUUAAUUUUUACAUAUGU
This 339-nucleotide ribosomal RNA is filed under the name Cormocephalus lissadellensis. RNAcentral's name for it is "partial small subunit ribosomal RNA". The record is from RNAcentral. Lineage: Eukaryota; Metazoa; Arthropoda; Chilopoda; Scolopendromorpha; Scolopendridae.